GACGAACGCUGGCGGCGCGCUUAACACAUGCAAGUCGAACGGAAAGGCCUGCUUUCCCUUGUGGAUUGCGGGUACUCGAGUGGCGAACGGGUGAGUAACACGUGAGUGAUCUGCCCCCAACUUGGGUAUAAGCCUGGGAAACUGUGUCUAAUUCCCGAUAGGACUGCAGGGUGGUGCCUGUGGUGGAAAACGAUUUUCUAGUGGUUGGGGAUGAGCUCGCGGCCUAUCAGCUUGUUGGUGGGGUAAUGGCCUACCAAGGCGGCGACGGGUAGCCGGACUGAGAGGGUGGACGGGCACAUUGGGACUGAGAUACGGCCCAGACUCCUACGGGAGGCAGCAGUGGGGAAUAUUGCAGAAUGGGCGGAAGCCUGAUGCAGCGACGCAGCGUGGGGGAUGACGGCCUUCGGGUUGUAAACUCCUUUCGACCGCGAGGAAGCCACCUGGUUGGAAGGGUGGUGACGGUAGUGGUAGAAGAAGCACCGGCUAACUACGUG
This 494-nucleotide ribosomal RNA is filed under the name uncultured bacterium. Its description in RNAcentral is "partial 16S ribosomal RNA". It matches the Rfam family "Bacterial small subunit ribosomal RNA", at positions 28 to 507 of the family's 1533-position model. The record is from RNAcentral.